UGAGUAGAUUACAUUUCUUAU
RNAcentral lists this non-coding RNA (21 nucleotides) under Caenorhabditis elegans. Lineage: Eukaryota; Metazoa; Nematoda; Chromadorea; Rhabditida; Rhabditidae. The record is from RNAcentral.